RNAcentral lists this ribosomal RNA (460 nucleotides) under uncultured bacterium. RNAcentral describes it as "partial 16S ribosomal RNA". It matches the Rfam family "Bacterial small subunit ribosomal RNA", at positions 338 to 795 of the family's 1533-position model. The record is from RNAcentral.
CCUACGGGUGGCAGCAGUGAGGAAUAUUGGUCAAUGGACGUAAGCCUGAACCAGCCAAGUCGCGUGAGGGAUGAAGGCUCUAUGGUUCGUAAACCUCUUUUAUAAGGGAAUAAAGUGUGGGACGUGUCCUGUUUUGUAUGUACCAUAUGAAUAAGGAUCGGCUAACUCCGUGCCAGCAGCCGCGGUAAUACGGAGGAUCCGAGCGUUAUCCGGAUUUAUUGGGUUUAAAGGGUGCGUAGGCGGCCUUUUAAGUCAGCUGUGAAAGUCUGUGGCUCAACCAUAAAAUUGCCGUUGAAACUGGGAGGCUUGAGUAUGUUUGAGGCAGGCGGAAUGCGUGGUGUAGCGGUGAAAUGCUUAGAUAUCACGCAGAACCCCGAUUGCGAAGGCAGCCUGCCAAGCCAUGACUGACGCUGAGGCACGAAAGCGUGGGGAUCAAACAGGAUUAGAUACCCGUGUAGUC